UAAGCAUAAUAAUGGCAAUAAACUAAUACUGAAGAUAGAGGAACUUUAAGAUCUAGAAUAUGCUGAAACAUCUCAUAUGUUGAUAUCCAACAUAUGAGAUGUUUAUCCAAGUGGUAACAUCCUGAAUCAACAUUAAAGGUGGCGUUAAGCCUAAUUGUAUUUGCAUAUUUUUAAAAAAUUUAGCUGCUUGAGGGCUUCUCUUAAAAUGAUCUACAAUUCCUCUUACUUUAUCUCUUAUUGCAGAUAUUGAUUUAAAAGCUGUUUGCUCCACUAAAUUUAAGGUAUGAGCAUAACAACCUACAUGUCUCCACCCACGCAAAUUAACAGCAUUAACUAUAUUGUGAGCGUUGUGCAUACAGCAAUGCAGUUACCCAAGCUCCAUUCAUUUAUAACUGCUAAUAAAUCAUUUUUCAAAUUUUCUGAUGUAUGUGAUUCAGAGUUUUUAAAACAAGAAAGAAGAUAUGAUUUUAAUUGACAAUCUUUAUCUAUAAAAUGGCAUGUAACAGCAAUAUAAUUUUCAUUUUUAACUGAAGUUCAACUAUCGGUUAUAAUAUCUUUGAAAGAGUUUUUCUCGGUGGAAGUGUGUAUCCAGGAUUCAGUAAUUUUAAAUGUUUGACGAACUCUCCAUCUUCAACGAUACUAGGAUAGUAUUCCUUGACAAUCAUUUUCAGAAUUUGUUGAUAAAUCGUUUUACGACGUGAAGCAACCAAUGACUUUGAUAAAUAAAGAAGAUUGAGAUGGAAUUUCUGAAGAGACGGCGGUAUGGCAAUUUAUGGAAUUAGAUGUUGAUAUAGUUGUACUUUAAAAAUAUAUAUGUUUACUAUUUAGUAGUAUAAAUAUUUACUUAUUUUUCUACUGUAUGCAUAAAUUAAUUAAUAAUUAUCAAAUAUUAAAUAUGAGAAUGAUUAUGUUUGUAAAUUGAAAUAGUAAUAUAUAUAUGGUAAUCAGAUAUAAGAAUAUG
This is a long non-coding RNA of Daktulosphaira vitifoliae (grape phylloxera), 961 nucleotides long. RefSeq lists it as uncharacterized. The transcript has 3 exons. The record is from RefSeq and is a predicted model, not a curated record. Lineage: Eukaryota; Metazoa; Arthropoda; Insecta; Hemiptera; Phylloxeridae.